ACGGGUGCGGAACACGUACGCAACCUUCCUUCAGGCGGGGGAUAGCCCAUAGAAAUGUGGAUUAAUACCCCAUAAGAUAUUUGGAUGGCAUCAUUUGAAUAUUAAAGCCCCGGCACCUGGAGAUGGGCGUGCGGCUGAUUAGGUAGUUGGCGGAGUAACAGCCCACCAAGCCAGCGAUCAGUAACUGGUGUGAGAGCAUGACCAGUCACACGGGCACUGAGACACGGGCCCGACUCCUACGGGAGGCAGCAGUAAGGAAUAUUGGUCAAUGGACGCAAGUCUGAACCAGCCAUGCCGCGUGGAGGAUGAAGGUCCUCUGGAUUGUAAACUUCUUUUAUAUGGGACGAAAAAGGGAAAUUCUUUUCCACCUGACGGUACCAUAUGAAUAAGCACCGGCUAACUCCGUGCCAGCAGCCGCGGUAAUACGGAGGGUGCAAGCGUUAUCCGGAUUCACUGGGUUUAAAGGGUGCGUAGGUGGGCAGGUAAGUCAGUGGUGAAAUCUCCGGGCUUAACCCGGAAACUGCCAUUGAUACUAUUUGUCUUGAAUACCGUGGAGGUUAGCGGAAUAUGUCAUGUAGC
This 579-nucleotide ribosomal RNA is filed under the name Chitinophagaceae bacterium RDB-125. Its description in RNAcentral is "bacterial SSU rRNA". It matches the Rfam family "Bacterial small subunit ribosomal RNA", at positions 102 to 679 of the family's 1533-position model. The record is from RNAcentral. Lineage: Bacteria; Pseudomonadati; Bacteroidota; Chitinophagia; Chitinophagales; Chitinophagaceae.